UUUUAUGUCUAUGCUAUGUUUGACUUAAUAGAUAGCGUUUUGUGAAUUGUAAACGCUAUAAAUGAUUGAAGCGGGAUAUAUGAAAUUCACGCGGCCAAUUUUCGGGUUACUAAAGUUCAAUUCCCGCUAUUAAAAAUGUUAAGAGGGAAAAAAUUUCUGAUUUUGUCUAAGGCAAAAUAAAUGAAAACAAUAAAAAUCACUUUUGCAUUUUUUCCCUCACUAACAAAGAUAAAACACUUAGAAAAAAAAAAGCAAAAAGAACACUAAGCUUUCUCUCGUGUUCCCCUUCUCUCUUUCUCUCUACCUGUACAAAGCUUUGUCGUUGUCGCCGUGAAAUUCCGAGACGACCUUCGCCGCCGUUGUCGUCGCUGGCAUCUUAUUCCAAUUUCACAGGUAGCUCUCUGGGUCAGAUUUCGUGAAGAUUCUACAAAUCCUUUGUCCAAAGAAGACUUGAGCUUAAUCGUAAGAUUGUGAAUCCUUUCUCUCCUUGUUGUUCUAUUUUUGUUCUGCCAUGUUUGUUAAGGAGAUUGAAUAUGUUAGCUAAGUUUAGAGGUUCUGAUGGGUACUGUGCCAAUAUUGCAAAUUGUGUUUCUCUUGAUCCUCCUGUUAUUAGUGGUAUGAAGUCGCAUGAUCAUCAUCUCCUUAUGCAAAACUUAUUGCCUGUUGCUUUGAGAGGAUUGCUACCAAAAGGACCAAGAGUUGCUGUGACUCGAUUAUGCAACUACUUCAACAGGUUGUGCCAGCAUGUGAUUGAUCCAGAGAAGCUGAUUUCUAGUGAGUCUGAGUUAGUUGAGACAAUGUGCCAAAUGGAGCGGUUCUUCCCUCCUUUUAGGAUAUGUAUUGCUUUGAUUGUCAUCUGUAGCUUCUUAGUUUGCUCAGUAGCUGCAGAAAUUUUGAUGUCCAAGAACUGUUAAUAGAUAUUCUCAUCAGCUAGGAUUUAUCUUUGCUUGUUCUCUGAUUUGGCUAAAUUGAUGAUUGAUUCACAUAUAUCUUUUUGCGAAUAGUGAUACUGUCUCAAUACGAGUUAACCAUUGACUAU
Molecule: long non-coding RNA, 1039 nt
Organism: Arabidopsis lyrata subsp. lyrata
Lineage: Eukaryota; Viridiplantae; Streptophyta; Magnoliopsida; Brassicales; Brassicaceae
Exons: 3
Source: RefSeq, a predicted model, not a curated record